UGGGGAAUAUUGCACAAUGGGCGCAAGCCUGAUGCAGCCAUGCCGCGUGUGUGAAGAAGGCCUUCGGGUUGUAAAGCACUUUCAGCGGGGAGGAAGGCGUUAAGGUUAAUAACCUUGGCGAUUGACGUUACCCGCAGAAGAAGCACCGGCUAACUCCGUGCCAGCAGCCGCUGUAAUACGGAUGGUGCAAUCGUUAAUCGGAAUUACUGGGCGUAAAGCGCACGCAGGCGGUUUGUUAAGUCAGAUGUGAAAUCCCCGGGCUCAACCUGGGAACUGCAUCUGAUACUGGCAGGGUUGUGUCUCGUAGAGGGGGGUAGAAUUACAGGUGUAGCGGUGAAAUGCGUAGAGAUCUGGAGGAAUACCGGUGGCGAAGGCGGCCCCCUGGACGAAGACUGACGCUCAGGUGCGAAAGCGUGGGGAGCAAACAGG
Molecule: ribosomal RNA, 429 nt
Filed under: Chloroflexota bacterium
Lineage: Bacteria; Bacillati; Chloroflexota
Description: Chloroflexi bacterium partial 16S ribosomal RNA
Rfam family: Bacterial small subunit ribosomal RNA
Source: RNAcentral